RNAcentral lists this ribosomal RNA (465 nucleotides) under uncultured bacterium. RNAcentral describes it as "bacterial SSU rRNA". It matches the Rfam family "Bacterial small subunit ribosomal RNA", at positions 47 to 507 of the family's 1533-position model. The record is from RNAcentral.
CCUUACACAUGCAAGUCGAACGGCAGCACGGGAGCAAUCCUGGUGGCGAGUGGCGAACGGGUGAGUAAUAUAUCGGAACGUGCCCGGUCGUGGGGGAUAACGUAGCGAAAGCUACGCUAAUACCGCAUACGAUCUACGGAUGAAAGCGGGGGAUCGCAAGACCUCGCGCGAUUGGAGCGGCCGAUAUCAGAUUAGGUAGUUGGUGAGGUAAAGGCUCACCAAGCCUGCGAUCUGUAGCUGGUCUGAGAGGACGACCAGCCACACUGGGACUGAGACACGGCCCAGACUCCUACGGGAGGCAGCAGUGGGGAAUUUUGGACAAUGGGCGCAAGCCUGAUCCAGCAAUGCCGCGUGCAGGAUGAAGGCCUUCGGGUUGUAAACUGCUUUUGUACGGAACGAAACGGUGAGCUCUAAUACAGUUUGCUAAUGACGGUACCGUAAGAAUAAGCACCGGCUAACUACGUG